UAUGGCACCCUCAACGGAGUUGGGGUGACGUAUUGUUAUUCUACGUUUCUUUUUUUUCUUAUUAUUAUUUUUCUUGCAACAAAUUUUGUCCAGGUGAUUUCUCGAAAUCCAAUGGACCAAUGUUGAUGGAACUCUACUAUAGUAAGGACCCCCAGGUGCAGAGUUGCAGGAAGCAUGGAAUGGUUCAAGAUGGCUACCGUUUCCAUGGAAACAGAACAAAUGUGAAAAAAUCCAGUUUUUUGUUUUGGUGAACUGUUUGGAUAUGCUUUAUCUCAGAAUCAUUAUAUUUUAAUACAAUGUAGGUGCCCACUAUAUACAGGUGUUGGAUGAUUUUGGUGAUCAUUGGAACUACUAUGUUGCCAUGGAAACUACACCAAAAAUUUCGAAAUUCUCAAAAUGCUCCAAACUUCAGGAAACUUCACAGUAACGAUGAGCAACAUUGGAAGAUGUGGAAUUUGGCGUUGGAAUUUCCAAAAUAUCUGUUGUUACCUUGGAAACAAUGCAAAAAGGUCAAAACUUUGAAUUUUCACAGAACAUUCCAGAACAUCAAUGUUAAAUUUAUUCUAGAGACAUUAAAUGGUAUAUUAUUAUGGAGGGCAAAAAAUGCAGCAGGGGUUUGACUUUGGAAUAUUCAAAAUGGCCGCCGUUACCAUGGAAACAGCAAAAAUAUGAAAAACUUCAAAAUGCUUCAAAUUUAAGGAAACUUAUAACAAAUGUUGCCUAGCUUAUGUAGACUUGACUUUUGAGUUUGGAAUUUUCUAAAUGGCCGCCGCUCACCUGGCAAUAGGGGAAGGGUGCCAUCCGUUAUUGCUAGCAAUUACAAAUCUAGUUU
RNAcentral lists this long non-coding RNA (832 nucleotides) under Mytilus galloprovincialis (Mediterranean mussel). The record is from RNAcentral. Lineage: Eukaryota; Metazoa; Mollusca; Bivalvia; Mytilida; Mytilidae.